RNAcentral lists this ribosomal RNA (403 nucleotides) under uncultured bacterium. Its description in RNAcentral is "partial 16S ribosomal RNA". It matches the Rfam family "Bacterial small subunit ribosomal RNA", at positions 29 to 526 of the family's 1533-position model. The record is from RNAcentral.
AUUGAACGCUGGCGGCAGGCCUAACACAUGCAAGUCGAGCGAGCGGCGGACGGGUGAGUAAUGUAUGGGGACUGCCCGAUAGAGGGGGAUAACUACUGGAAACGGUGGCUAAUCCCGCAUACUAUCGGCUACCCCAUAUGGGAUUAGCUAGUAGGUGGGGUAAAGGCUCACCUAGGCGACGAUCCCUAGCUGGUGUGAGAGGAUGAUCAGCCACACGGGGACUGAGACACGGCCCAGACUCCAACGGAGGCAGCAGUGGGGAAUAGUGAACAAUGGGAGCAAGCCUGUUGCAGCCAUGCCGCGUGUAGGAAGAAGGCCUUAGGGUUGUAAAGUACUUUCAGCGGGGAGGCGUUACCCGCAGAAGAAGCACCGGCUAACUCCGUGCCAGCAGCCGCGGUAAUAC